UACUCCUACGGGAGGCAGCAGUAGGGAAUCUUCCGCAAUGGACGAAAGUCUGACGGAGCAACGCCGCGUGAGCGAAGAAGGCCUUCGGGUCGUAAAGCUCUGUUGUUAGGGAAGAACAAGUACGAGAGUAACUGCUCGUACCUUGACGGUACCUAACCAGAAAGCCACGGCUAACUACGUGCCAGCAGCCGCGGUAAUAA
RNAcentral lists this ribosomal RNA (200 nucleotides) under uncultured soil bacterium. RNAcentral describes it as "partial 16S ribosomal RNA". It matches the Rfam family "Bacterial small subunit ribosomal RNA", at positions 334 to 526 of the family's 1533-position model. The record is from RNAcentral.